Long non-coding RNA from Ornithorhynchus anatinus (platypus), 225 nucleotides. RefSeq lists it as uncharacterized. NCBI's taxonomy places the organism in Eukaryota, Metazoa, Chordata, Mammalia, Monotremata, Ornithorhynchidae. The transcript has 3 exons. The record is from RefSeq and is a predicted model, not a curated record.
UUUAGCAAAGCUGCUUCAUCUGCAAAGUUUACAAAAUGCCACCAGCAUUGCCGAACUAAGGAACAACAAGAAUGUGUUCUUCCUAGCUUUUAAGUAGACUGCUCCGAAAAGAUUCAAAACUGUGAGACCUGCAGUGUUGAUACGCCUAUUCCAGGUCACAGAUGGCUCUACCUUAUUCAAAGCAGGUGGAUGGACAACACCCAGAGGAGAGGGGAGACAUGGCCU